Long non-coding RNA from Tachysurus fulvidraco (yellow catfish), 1122 nucleotides. RefSeq lists it as uncharacterized. The record is from RefSeq and is a predicted model, not a curated record. The transcript is spliced from 2 exons. Lineage: Eukaryota; Metazoa; Chordata; Actinopteri; Siluriformes; Bagridae.
AUUAUUUAUUGAUCAUAUUUAAUUUUAUUUUUCAGUAUCAAAUGAUCAAUAAAUUGUUAUAGUUUAAAUAAGGAUUGCAAUUUCUUUUUUAAUUUCAGGCAAAUUGAUGCACUUUAAGUCUUUUCUAAUACAGACUGAAAAUCAAUGUUAAUAAAAUUAUUCUUUGUUGUAAGUUGAUCUAUAUUUUUUUCUUUUUGUUUUGUUUUCUUUAAUGUUAAUAAGUGUACAAUGUUAUGCAGAGGUAUACUUAAAACAAUUUUAAGGACAAAUGAUAAAAUUUACAGUCGCGGCGGAGAUGUUGGGGGCGGGGGGUGUGUGCGUUUACUUCUUCCUAGUGUGACCGUAUGAAUGAGGUAAGAGUGGUGAUUGACGCCCAUAACCACCAAUCAGUAGCGAGCAGGCUACUAUAGCGGUUUCAGGAUUCUCCUUUUCAUCCUGGGCGAUUAUCACUGCAGUUUGGUUUUUCCUCCACUGCGCGCCGAGUGAAUAAUAUCGGCUUACAACUAUUUAAAGGGACUUCUGCUACUGCCGUCUGGUUUCUGUGAAAGUUUUAACUGACCUUUUCUGGUCUACUUUGGGGUGGAAGAUCGCGCAUUUCUUGGAGCUGGCCUAAGGACGAUGUGGCCGCUCCAUUGAGUCCUGUUUUCCUCAAACAUUUUACAAAGUCUUUCGUUGUGUUGAAUUGUGACUUCCAUUUGCUUUUCAUUCAUUUCUGUUCAGGAGAUGUAUUUAUUUUGUUUUUGAUUCCUUUCAGGAGUUGGGGUCCCACGGGUGAAAGAUCUUUGGUGGUGGUGCUACUUCAACGUUUGCCCUGCGACACUCUUAAAGUGUACGAGUGUGUGAUCUGAGUUUUUAGAUAAUUAGCACUGGUGAUCACUCCGGUGGGUAACCCCAGCCCUGUACUUAUUAUUAUAUUUUGUUUUGUUUAUUUGGAAGUUGAGUAAAUUGGUUGUUUAAUAUUUCUUUCAUCUGAUCGUUUGUUAAUUGUGUAAUUGUCUGUCACUGGACCUUUUAUAUUUUUUUUUUUUUACCAGUGAGGACAUUUUCUCUUUUUUUUAGUUUGCUUUUAUAAUGUUGGUUUGUAAUUUCAAGAUUUCAAUAAAUGUUGUAUUUUUAUAAGAU